Molecule: long non-coding RNA, 472 nt
Organism: Ictalurus punctatus (channel catfish)
Lineage: Eukaryota; Metazoa; Chordata; Actinopteri; Siluriformes; Ictaluridae
Exons: 4
Source: RefSeq, a predicted model, not a curated record
ACUCUCGUCCGGUCUUUUUCGACGAGUGUGAGAUGGAGGAGUUGUCCACUGUUUUGAUAGUUUAUAUAACGAUAAGAUAAUAUAUUAUGACAGUGAUUAAAUCGUAAUAACUUCUGGGGUAUAUUUGAUUAAGCGAACAGUCGGUUCUCGUAGUUAGUAUGUGUAUGGGACUGCGCAUGCGCAGAACGCUCUCGGCGCCAAUGUUAACUCCUGUUCGGCUUGGGAAGUGUUUACAACGAGGGAGAAGUUGGUGAAUGUAUGCUGCAUCAAUGUUAUGGGUUUGAGUUGCAACCCGCCUACUCAAAUCAGUACACAUGGAGCUUGUCCUCUUGAUUCGUAAUGUUCUUGUAAAGUGUUACUGACUAGAUGUAUCCCCCUUCAGAAGAAAUUUUUUUUUUCCUUUAGAUAUGCAAAAAGGAGACAUGGUAUGUACAAUGCAUGUUGGUCAAUAAAGAUUGAAUUUACUGUGUAA